Molecule: ribosomal RNA, 497 nt
Filed under: uncultured bacterium
Lineage: Bacteria
Description: partial 16S ribosomal RNA
Rfam family: Bacterial small subunit ribosomal RNA
Source: RNAcentral
GAUGAACGCUGGCGGCGUGCCUAAUACAUGCAAGUCGAGCGAACAGACGAGGAGCUUGCUCCUCUGGCGUUAGCGGCGGACGGGUGAGUAACACGUGGAUAACCUACCUAUAAGACUGGGAUAACUUCGGGAAACCGGAGCUAAUACCGGAUAAUAUAUUGAACCGCAUGGUUCAAUAGUGAAAGACGGUUUUGCUGUCACUUAUAGAUGGAUCCGCGCCGCAUUAGCUAGUUGGUAAGGUAACGGCUUACCAAGGCAACGAUGCGUAGCCGACCUGAGAGGGUGAUCGGCCACACUGGAACUGAGACACGGUCCAGACUCCUACGGGAGGCAGCAGUAGGGAAUCUUCCGCAAUGGGCGAAAGCUUGACGGAGCAACGCCGCGUGAGUGAUGAAGGUCUUCGGAUCGUAAAACCCUGUUAUUAGGGAAGAACAAAUGUGUAAGUAACUAUGCACGUCUUGACGGUACCUAAUCAGAAAGCCACGGCUAACUACGUG